UAUUAGGUUCGUGCAAAAGUAAUUGUGGUUUUUGUCAUGACUUUUAAUGGCAAAAACUGCAAUUACUUUUGCACCAA
This is a microRNA precursor of Colobus angolensis palliatus, 77 nucleotides long. The record is from Ensembl. NCBI's taxonomy places the organism in Eukaryota, Metazoa, Chordata, Mammalia, Primates, Cercopithecidae.